AGAGUUUGAUCCUGGCUCAGGACGAACGCUGGCGGCGUGCCUAACACAUGCAAGUCGUACGGGCUCGGGGGGCAACUCUCGAGUCAGUGGCGAACGGGUGCGUAACACGUGAGCAACUUGCCCUACGGUGGGGGAUAGCCGGUCUAACGGCCGGGUAAUACCGCAUAUGGCGCCGGGGUCGCAUGACCUUGGCGGGAAAG
Molecule: ribosomal RNA, 200 nt
Filed under: uncultured bacterium
Lineage: Bacteria
Description: partial 16S ribosomal RNA
Rfam family: Bacterial small subunit ribosomal RNA
Source: RNAcentral